Molecule: long non-coding RNA, 979 nt
Organism: Dreissena polymorpha
Lineage: Eukaryota; Metazoa; Mollusca; Bivalvia; Myida; Dreissenidae
Exons: 3
Source: RefSeq, a predicted model, not a curated record
UAAAAUGAAGUUAAUGUAAUGUUCACAAACAGUACAGUUAAUGAGUUUUUCCAUUAACAAGAAUUUCUUAAAAUAAUAAUGUAUGGAUAUCAUUUGGAAAGUGACAUGAAAUGUUGUUAAAAAGUGAUGCAUACAAGUGUUUCAGAAGUCUGUCUAGGAAUAGAACAACAACUGAAGCUGACCAGUUGAUGGAAGAUACUGCAGAGUUUGGCAGGGAAAUAACCCAAGACAGCAAAGCGGCUCAGACUUUUGGCGCAUUUACCAAGAGGACUAACAUGGCCACAAAUUCAUGAGAUCAUGCAGGAGCCGUACAGUAUAACAGCAGUACUAGUUCUAUAAAAGAUCCACGACCUACUGAAGCCCAACUAAUUAACAAAAAAGUUUUUAAAAACUGUAAUUUUAUCCCACCUGGGUACUUAUAAUUUACUAAGCUGCCUACACAAGUUUUAGACUUGCAAUUAUAUUUUAAACUGUCAUUUGGAAAGUAAUACAUGUACAUGCAUUAUGUUCUGAAUUUCUUUGAACAAUAAAAUUAUAUAUAAGUAUUUUAAUGAAAUUGAGCACCUAAAUUGCAUUAAAGUGAAAGUAGCUGAGAAAAAUAGUAUCCUUGUGCUCAUGGGCAGCUACAUAUAUUGUGACAAACAUGAAGUAGCUAAAAUAACUUAAAUUUUUUCAUUUGUUUCUUGUAUAUCGUUUGUACAGGGUUCGUGAAUUGUUACUGUAUAUUACUUGACUUGCUUGUAUUUUGUUACUUUAAAUACAUGUUGUUAAGGUUGCAUUAUACUUUUUAACUUUUAAAGUAGCGCCUGUUCUGUUAUGUAAGGGCCUGAUUUAUGAUAAUGGACCUAGAGGCUUUGUAAGCAUGUAUUAAACAACACUUGUUUGAUCUGAAUAAUUUGUUAAAUAAAUGUAACACAAUUUGUAAUCUGAUGUUAUAUUUUGAUGAAUUGUGAACAAAAUAAUACAUCGAAGAAACUAA